CGCGUAUGUAGUGCCGUCGGUAAGCGGCAACAUAGUCUGCCCGCACGAUGCCGCUCUCGCUACUCCUCGUUACUUAUUGCGAUUCUCCCUUGAAUAUGUAGUAUGGCCAACCACGCUUGCGACGGGGAUUGGGUGAAGUGAAGGAUGGUGCGUGCUGGAUGGGGGCUUGGCUAUACGGCGGCGGGCCACGGCAUGUGCCCAGACCACGCAAGAAAUGGCACAGCAUACGGCUCAGACAUCAGAGGUGUCAGCAAGCUUCGCGAUGAAUUCAAACUUGGGUAAACCUUAUAACGCUUGUCGUGCGCAGCUCCAGGAUGGCGCGAGUAGCAGAUUUGGGCAGGGGGGGCCAGCGAGCGAUGCAGGCUUAGGUGCUGGGGCAACGGGCUGUGCCGCGGUGCAGGGCCUUCCAAGCAGUUUGCCGGAGACGAGCGGCACAUUCAGGCGUGCUCUUACGAUGAGCUGUGCAUCGAAGCUACUCACCUGGAUAGUCCUGGAUGUGCGAUGGGACAGGGUUUAGGCAGGAUGGCGAGGUCCCGUAGGAUGCAGCUGACGCCCAUACCCCAAGCAGACGGCAGACAAUUUGCAGCGGCAGAGCAGCGGCCACUCACCUGGAUGCUGAUGAGCUUGGGGAGCUGUGUGGGGCUUUCGGGCGCCGCUGAGCCCCUUUCGCGGAGUCACGCAGACUUUGUCCGCGGGAGGGUUUGCAGCAAAGUCGGGGUUGGUGGAGUCAAGUUGGACCCUGAUAGCAUGUGCUGGCUCAGCGUCUUCGGGUGCUGGGACUGUCCCCUCUGUAUCAUCCGC
RNAcentral lists this long non-coding RNA (801 nucleotides) under Chlamydomonas reinhardtii. Its description in RNAcentral is "long non-coding RNA (CREI_LNC000501)". The record is from RNAcentral. Lineage: Eukaryota; Viridiplantae; Chlorophyta; Chlorophyceae; Chlamydomonadales; Chlamydomonadaceae.